This is a long non-coding RNA of Ornithodoros turicata, 489 nucleotides long. RefSeq lists it as uncharacterized. The transcript is spliced from 4 exons. The record is from RefSeq and is a predicted model, not a curated record. NCBI's taxonomy places the organism in Eukaryota, Metazoa, Arthropoda, Arachnida, Ixodida, Argasidae.
UUGGGUGUGAAUGUUCUUCGCUGAUAAAACAGUUAUUGAUAAUUACUUUUUCACGCGUUUCUUUUGUGUAUCAAGAUUGUGACGAUGAUAUGCGUACACGUCUGUCAACCAUGCUGCAUACUUCCGGCUCAUACAAUUUCAAUAUCACCUAUUCUUUCCAGGCUUGGCUGUUCCUCUAACCGUCACUACACUCUUCGCUUUUGCCAUUUUGCACGUAGGUACCAGCGAUCAAACUACAGUACCGGAGCCAGAGGACAGCACUUCAGAACCGGAUGCCGAAGACACAGAAUCUGAAAAGGACGACGAAGCACAUGAGAGCGCUAGUGCGGUUGAGAUGCAACCCGGAAUAAUAGCGCCGUCAUGGAAGUCCUUGCGGGAAAUGCGGCGGAUGAAGUUCCUGGAACGACUGAACGAAAGUACAGCAGCUUUGUGCAAAAGGCUACAAAGCAGAUUUGACAGAAUUCAUUCUAUUCUUCUUGCGAAGUCUGC